Molecule: ribosomal RNA, 502 nt
Filed under: uncultured bacterium
Lineage: Bacteria
Description: bacterial SSU rRNA
Rfam family: Bacterial small subunit ribosomal RNA
Source: RNAcentral
GAUCAUGGCUCAGGAUGAACGCUAGCUACAGGCUUAACACAUGCAAGUCGAGGGGCAGCAUGAAGUUUGCUUGCAAACUUUGAUGGCGACCGGCGCACGGGUGAGUAACGCGUAUCCAACCUACCUCUAACUAAGGAAUAGCCCGUUGAAAGUAAGACUAAUACCCGAUGAUAUCUCUAGACGACAUCUGAAAGGGAUUAAAGAUUUAUCGGUGAUGGAUGGGGAUGCGUCUGAUUAGCUUGUUGGCGGGGUAACGGCCCACCAAGGCUACGAUCAGUAGGGGUUCUGAGAGGAAGGUCCCCCACAUUGGAACUGAGACACGGUCCAAACUCCUACGGGAGGCAGCAGUGAGGAAUAUUGGUCAAUGGGCGAGAGCCUGAACCAGCCAAGUAGCGUGCAGGAAGACGGCCCUAUGGGUUGUAAACUGCUUUUAUAGGGGAAUAAAGUGAGCCACGUGUGGUUUUUGCAUGUACCCUAUGAAUAAGGACCGGCUAAUUCCGUG